RNAcentral lists this ribosomal RNA (401 nucleotides) under Helicobacter pylori. RNAcentral's name for it is "bacterial LSU rRNA". It matches the Rfam family "Bacterial large subunit ribosomal RNA", at positions 1783 to 2186 of the family's 2925-position model. The record is from RNAcentral. Lineage: Bacteria; Pseudomonadati; Campylobacterota; Epsilonproteobacteria; Campylobacterales; Helicobacteraceae.
UGGUGGGGUUCUUUUUUUUCCAAAAACACAGCACUUUGCCAACUCGUAAGAGGAAGUAUAAGGUGUGACGCCUGCCCGGUGCUCGAAGGUUAAGAGGAUGCGUCAGUCGCAAGAUGAAGCGUUGAAUUGAAGCCCGAGUAAACGGCGGCCGUAACUAUAACGGUCCUAAGGUAGCGAAAUUCCUUGUCGGUUAAAUACCGACCUGCAUGAAUGGCGUAACGAGAUGGGAGCUGUCUCAACCAGAGAUUCAGUGAAAUUGUAGUGGAGGUGAAAAUUCCUCCUACCCGCGGCAAGACGGAAAGACCCCGUGGACCUUUACUACAACUUAGCACUGCUAACGGGAAUAUCAUGCGCAGGAUAGGUGGGAGGCUUUGAAGUAAGGGCUUUGGCUCUUAUGGAGA